Molecule: unclassified non-coding RNA, 253 nt
Filed under: uncultured Bacteroidota bacterium
Lineage: Bacteria; Pseudomonadati; Bacteroidota
Description: uncultured Bacteroidetes bacterium contains 16S-23S intergenic spacer region
Rfam family: Bacterial small subunit ribosomal RNA
Source: RNAcentral
UACGGAGGGUGCAAGCGUUGUCCGGAAUCACUGGGUGUAAAGGGUGUGUAGGUGGGACAGUAAGUCAGGGGUGAAAGCCCGCGGCCUAACCGCGGAACUGCCUUUGAUACUGCUGUUCUUGAGUCCCGGAGAGGUUGUUGGAAUUCGUGGUGUAGCGGUGAAAUGCGUAGAUAUCACGAGGAACACCAGAGGCGUAGGCGAACAACUGGACGGGUACUGACACUGAGGCACGAAAGCGUGGGGAGCAAACAGG